Molecule: ribosomal RNA, 504 nt
Filed under: uncultured bacterium
Lineage: Bacteria
Description: partial 16S ribosomal RNA
Rfam family: Bacterial small subunit ribosomal RNA
Source: RNAcentral
AUUGAACGCUGGCGGCAGGCCUAACACAUGCAAGUCGAGCGGUAGCACAGAGAGCUUGCUCUCGGGUGACGAGCGGCGGACGGGUGAGUAAUGUCUGGGAAACUGCCUGAUGGAGGGGGAUAACUACUGGAAAUGGUAGCUAAUACCGCAUAACGUCGCAAGACCAAAGAGGGGGACAUGCGGUCCUCUUGCCAUCAGAUGCGCCCAGAUGGGAUGAGCUAGUAGGUGGGGUAACGGCAAGCCUAGGCGACGAGACCUAGGGGGUCGGAGAGGAUGACCCGCCACACGGGAACUGAGAAGCGGUCCAGACUCCUACGGGAGGCAGGAGUGGGGAAUAUUGCACAAGGGGCGCAAGCCUGAUGCAGCCAUGCCGCGUGUAGGAAGAAGGCCUUCGGGUUGUAAAGUACUUUCAGCGGGGAGGAAGGCGAUAAGGUUAAUAACCUUGUCGAUUGACGUUACCCGCAGAAGAAGCACCGGCUAACUCCGUGCCAGCAGCCGCAGUAA